Molecule: long non-coding RNA, 711 nt
Organism: Cimex lectularius (bed bug)
Lineage: Eukaryota; Metazoa; Arthropoda; Insecta; Hemiptera; Cimicidae
Exons: 2
Source: RefSeq, a predicted model, not a curated record
UAAAAGUUUAGUGUUUUAAAGCCAUACACUACUCAAUGAUUGUACAAUCAAUUGGUACAAUUUUUAUUAAUAAGUUUGAAGAUAACAUUUGUUACUCAGCAAAUUAUCAAUAGAAAUGAAAUGUAAAGCAAUUUAUUAUUAAGAACAUUUUUUUUAUUAAUCUAUUAUUCGUCGGCUGAAUCGACAUUUGUUACUAAUCAAAAUAAGCUUUAUCGGCCCAAGUAUUAAACAGUAAUGAGCUAACUCAAAUUACUCAGUUGUGCUCCUACUUCCCACUUCUUCAGUGUGCAGCCUUAGAUAAACAUGUAUAAGAGGAUGGCGAUUUUUAUUUUUUACAUGAUGUGUUUGGAGAUUUUGAAGCACUCGAAUAGGUGCAACGCCUUACCUGUCCCAAAAGUCCUUCAGCAGACGUUUUCUAAAAAGCCCUUUAGUGAAAACCCGCCAAAAUUUACUGCUUUUACCAGAGUCAAACGAGCGAUACAGCUGGAUUUAAAAAGGAUAACGAAUCCAAUAAUUGGGUCAAUCAACAGAGGACUCAGUUUUAUCGUUGCUAGCCCAAUUUAUAAAGAAUUUUACAAUGCUGGGAAUAAAGUCAAACUUAAAAGUGUUGAAACAAAUGAUGCUAUUGACAGCUAUGUUCAAUAUGCUGUAAACAAAGUUUUUGCUCCUGUAUGAUAUAAAAAUAUGUAUUUAAUAAAUAAUUACAUUAUA